RNAcentral lists this ribosomal RNA (575 nucleotides) under uncultured Bacteroidales bacterium. RNAcentral's name for it is "bacterial SSU rRNA". It matches the Rfam family "Bacterial small subunit ribosomal RNA", at positions 173 to 749 of the family's 1533-position model. The record is from RNAcentral. Lineage: Bacteria; Pseudomonadati; Bacteroidota; Bacteroidia; Bacteroidales.
AUCAUGAGUUCACAUGUCCGCAUGAUUAAAGGUAUUUUCCGGUAGACGAUGGGGAUGCGUUCCAUUAGAUAGUAGGCGGGGUAACGGCCCACCUAGUCAACGAUGGAUAGGGGUUCUGAGAGGAAGGUCCCCCACAUUGGAACUGAGACACGGUCCAAACUCCUACGGGAGGCAGCAGUGAGGAAUAUUGGUCAAUGGGCGAUGGCCUGAACCAGCCAAGUAGCGUGAAGGAUGACUGCCCUAUGGGUUGUAAACUUCUUUUAUAAAGGAAUAAAGUCGGGUAUGCAUACCCGUUUGCAUGUACUUUAUGAAUAAGGAUCGGCUAACUCCGUGCCAGCAGCCGCGGUAAUACGGAGGAUCCGAGCGUUAUCCGGAUUUAUUGGGUUUAAAGGGAGCGUAGAUGGAUGUUUAAGUCAGUUGUGAAAGUUUGCGGCUCAACCGUAAAAUUGCAGUUGAUACUGGAUGUCUUGAGUGCAGUUGAGGCAGGCGGAAUUCGUGGUGUAGCGGUGAAAUGCUUAGAUAUCACGAAGAACUCCGAUUGCGAAGGCAGCCUGCUAAGCUGCAACUGACAUUGA